GUCUAUGAAUGGGUUAACUGACAUGUGACCGCGGUAACUACUGUAUAGCAAACUAAUCGUAUCAUCAAGAAGUCCCAAAGAGAAGUCUUCACAAAACCGAAUGUAAUUUUUUUUAAGGACACUAACCUUAACACGAACCUAGUUUUGCUCAGCUUCUUGAUGUCUGCACUUGUACUGUAAUUUCAGUGUAUGCAAGAAAAAGCAACUGUUCUGCGUGCUAUUUUUAACUUUGAUUCCGGUGGUUUUGGUACACCCUCUGCCUGGAUUGGAUGAGUGCAAGAUGUAUUGGUAGACAAAUAUGUCAAUCACUCAUAGAACGCAAUGAAUACGUCUUGGAGAGUAGUUGUCUGUAUUUACGGCAUCGAAUUAGAGGGGUGAACGUUAUGACCACACGAGGGCAGUGUGUCCAUUAUUCCAGGUAAGGUAUUUCAAAUCACUGGUGACUGCAUAAAAGUUGAGGGAUACUUUUAAUACCUUCAUUUUCAUCCUCAUCAGACUGACUGUUACAAGAACUGCAUUUUGUUUGGGGCAAAACAUGUUAAUUAACAGGUUUACCAAAAGCAUGUGGACAGUAUUUGGUGUCUGUGUGCCCCACUGAAGAGAAAAUGCAGAUUAUCCAUCCAGAAGCGGGGCCACCAUCUCCAGCAUCUUCCCCGUUCCUGGCUGUGGUUGGAACAAUAACGGUGUUAGUAGGACCGACAACAUUAUUACUAUAUCACAGCUCAAAUGUAAAUCAAAUAAUCCUCCCUUCUACUAAAAUGAAAUGUUGUAGUUAUUGUUGUUUUAUUAAUACGAAGACAUGUUAAAGACCCCCUAACCACCUUAGAACCUCAUUUGUCACCUGAUUUACCUACCAAAAGGUACAUUUCAAUAAGUG
Salvelinus fontinalis (brook trout) is the source of this 877-nucleotide long non-coding RNA. RefSeq lists it as uncharacterized. Lineage: Eukaryota; Metazoa; Chordata; Actinopteri; Salmoniformes; Salmonidae. The record is from RefSeq and is a predicted model, not a curated record. The transcript has 3 exons.